UUAAGCAUAUCAAUAAGCGGAGGAAAAGAAACUAACAAGGAUUCCCCUAGUAACGGCGAGUGAAGCGGGAAGAGCUCAAAUUUGUAAUCUGGUGGACUCAGUCCAUCCGAGUUGUAAUCUAUAGAAGUGUUUUCCGCGCCGGACCGUGUCUAAGUCCCUUGGAACAGGGUGUCAGAGAGGGUGAGAAUCCCGUGCUUGAUACGACCACCGGUGCUAUGUGAUACACUUUCAACGAGUCGAGUUGUUUGGGAAUGCAGCUCAAAAUGGGUGGUAAAUUCCAUCUAAAGCUAAAUAUUGGCGAGAGACCGAUAGCGAACAAGUACCGUGAGGGAAAGAUGAAAAGCACUUUGGAAAGAGAGUUAAACAGUACGUGAAAUUGUUGAAAGGGAAACGAUUGAAGUCAGUCGUGCGCGCUGGGACUCAGCCGGUUCUGCCGGUGUACUUCCCAGUGUGCGGGUCAACAUCAGUUUAGAUCGCUGGAUAAGGGCAUUAGGAACGUGGCUCCCUCGGGAGUGUUAUAGCCUAGUGCCGCAUACAGUGGUUCAGACUGAGGAACGCAGCUCGCCUUUAUGGCCGGGGUUCGCCCACGUCCGAGCUUAGGAUGUUGACAUAAUGGCUUUAAACGACCCGUC
This 632-nucleotide ribosomal RNA is filed under the name Holtermannia corniformis. RNAcentral describes it as "LSU rRNA". It matches the Rfam family "Eukaryotic large subunit ribosomal RNA", at positions 34 to 653 of the family's 3401-position model. Lineage: Eukaryota; Fungi; Basidiomycota; Tremellomycetes; Holtermanniales. The record is from RNAcentral.